Molecule: ribosomal RNA, 253 nt
Filed under: uncultured bacterium
Lineage: Bacteria
Description: partial 16S ribosomal RNA
Rfam family: Bacterial small subunit ribosomal RNA
Source: RNAcentral
UACAGAGGUGGCAAGCGUUGUUCGGAAUUACUGGGCGUAAAGGGCGCGUAGGCGGCCAUCUAAGUCAGACGUGAAAUCCCCGGGCUUAACCUGGGAAUGCCAUUUGGGACUGCAAGGCUCGAGUGCGGCAGAGGAGACUGGAAUUCCUGGUGUAGCAGUGAAAUGCGUAGAUAUCAGGAGGAACACCGAUGGCGAAGGCAGGUCUCUGGGCUGACACUGACGCUCAUGCACGAAAGCGUGGGGAGCAAACAGG